GGCUUUAUAGUCAAUAUAUGAUAUCAGACUGCAAUUCUGAAGUAGUACAUUUAAUACUAAAGCUU
This 65-nucleotide transfer RNA is filed under the name Macracanthopsis nodipes. RNAcentral describes it as "tRNA-Cys". The record is from RNAcentral. Lineage: Eukaryota; Metazoa; Arthropoda; Insecta; Hemiptera; Reduviidae.